AUUUUUAUUGAGAGUUUGAUCCUGGCUCAGGAUGAACGCUGGCGGCAUGCCUAAGACAUGCAAGUCGUACGAAGGGGCCCAAUGAAAAGAAUUGAAGUUAAGAGUGCUUGCACAAUUAAUCGAUUUUCUUGGAUUUGGAUUUUCCCCUUAGUGGCAAACGGGUGAGUAACACGUGGGUUACCUACCUCUAAGAUGGGGAUAACAGUUGGAAACGACUGAU
This 220-nucleotide ribosomal RNA is filed under the name bacterium. Its description in RNAcentral is "partial 16S ribosomal RNA". It matches the Rfam family "Bacterial small subunit ribosomal RNA", at positions 1 to 164 of the family's 1533-position model. The record is from RNAcentral.